AUAGGAAAAUGAAUAAUAAUAGGAAGAACGAAUGAUAAGAAAUGAAUGACUGUCUUCGAGAUUUCUCUCUGUUUCUACUUUUCUCUUUUUUUUCUUCUUCUCUCUGUUUUCUUUGUUUUGUUCCUCCU
RNAcentral lists this non-coding RNA (128 nucleotides) under uncultured Ochromonas. The record is from RNAcentral. Lineage: Eukaryota; Chrysophyceae; Chromulinales; Chromulinaceae.